This 1451-nucleotide ribosomal RNA is filed under the name uncultured bacterium. RNAcentral's name for it is "bacterial SSU rRNA". It matches the Rfam family "Bacterial small subunit ribosomal RNA". The record is from RNAcentral.
GAUGAACGCUAGCGGCAGGCCUAAUACAUGCAAGUCGAACGGGAUCCAUUGGGAGCUUGCUCCUGGUGGUGAGAGUGGCGCACGGGUGCGUAACGCGUGAGCAACCUACCCUUGUCAGGGGGAUAGCCCGGCGAAAGUCGGAUUAACACCGCAUGACAUUACGAGAUGGCAUCAUUUUGUAAUCAAAUAUUUAUAGGACAGGGAUGGGCUCGCGUGACAUUAGCUUGUUGGUAAGGUAACGGCUUACCAAGGCUACGAUGUCUAGGGGCUCUGAGAGGAGAAUCCCCCACACUGGUACUGAGACACGGACCAGACUCCUACGGGAGGCAGCAGUAAGGAAUAUUGGUCAAUGGACGCAAGUCUGAACCAGCCAUGCCGCGUGCAGGAAGACGGCCCUACGGGUCGUAAACUGCUUUUGUACGGGAACAAACCCUUCUACGUGUAGGAGGCUGAGUGUACCGUAAGAAUAAGGAUCGGCUAACUCCGUGCCAGCAGCCGCGGUAAUACGGAGGAUCCAAGCGUUAUCCGGAUUUAUUGGGUUUAAAGGGUGCGUAGGCGGCCUAUUAAGUCAGGGGUGAAAUACGGCAGCUCAACUGUCGCAGUGCCUUUGAUACUGAUAGGCUUGAAUGCGGAUGAGGUAGGCGGAAUGAGACAAGUAGCGGUGAAAUGCAUAGAUAUGUCUCAGAACUCCGAUUGCGAAGGCAGCUUACUAAGUCGUGAUUGACGCUGAUGCACGAAAGCGUGGGGAUCAAACAGGAUUAGAUACCCUGGUAGUCCACGCCCUAAACGAUGAUAACUCGAUGUCGGCGAUAUACCGUCGGUGUCUUAGCGAAAGCGUUAAGUUAUCCACCUGGGGAGUACGCCCGCAAGGGUGAAACUCAAAGGAAUUGACGGGGGCCCGCACAAGCGGAGGAACAUGUGGUUUAAUUCGAUGAUACGCGAGGAACCUUACCCGGGCUUGAAAUGCAUCUGACGUAUUCGGAAACGGAUAUUCCCUACGGGGCAGAUGUGUAGGUGCUGCAUGGUUGUCGUCAGCUCGUGCCGUGAGGUGUCGGCUUAAGUGCCAUAACGAGCGCAACCCUCAUCGUCAGUUACCAUCAGGUAAAGCUGGGGACUCUGGCGAGACUGCCAUCGUAAGAUGCGAGGAAGGUGGGGAUGACGUCAAAUCAGCACGGCCCUUACGUCCGGGGCGACACACGUGUUACAAUGGGUGGUACAAAGGGCAGCUACCUGGCGACAGGAUGCUAAUCUCCAAAACCACUCUCAGUUCGGAUCGGAGUCUGCAACUCGACUCCGUGAAGCUGGAUUCGCUAGUAAUCGCGCAUCAGCCACGGCGCGGUGAAUACGUUCCCGGGCCUUGUACACACCGCCCGUCAAGCCAUGGGAGCCGGGGGUACCUGAAGAUCGUAACCGAUAAGGAGCGAUCUAGGGUAAAACUGGUGACUGGGGCU